RNAcentral lists this long non-coding RNA (17107 nucleotides) under Sorghum bicolor (sorghum). RNAcentral's name for it is "long non-coding RNA (SBIC_LNC004027)". The stretch from base 7817 to 7925 matches the Rfam family "MIR5565 microRNA precursor family". Lineage: Eukaryota; Viridiplantae; Streptophyta; Magnoliopsida; Poales; Poaceae. The record is from RNAcentral.
AUGUCCUCUGUUUUGAUUUUGCCGACACCAUUCCACAUCUUGGCAUUCACCACCAAAAGUCUCAUACCUGCCUGAUCAGAUCUGACAUCAUCAACUUCCCUGUGCAGGUUUGGCGACCCGUCUGCCUCCCCCCCGAGACCUGGUGAAAUAUGCAGAGAGCUGCAUGUACACUCCUGUCUACCGUAACUAUCGGUAGUGCUGCGGGGAUCAAUUUUGCAGUAAUAAAAUCUACCAACGAUCAACGCAGAUGAUACUGCAAUGUUGUAGUUAUUGGGCCUUGUCGGAACUGUUCAUCACUGGAGGAUAACAGCUAUAGCGCUGUUGGAGUAGCAGGCUGAUUGUGUUUGUUGUCCCCUGCUGCUAACCAUCCUUGGUGCUCGCGCUGCUGGUAUAUGAUAUGUUGUAAUGUUAUGAAAGCAAACAGUCUUGUGUGCCAAUAUUUGUUAUUCUUUCGGUCGCUUAUAUGAUGGUCUGUUAAAGAGGCUGACAUGCGUGAAAACAAAUCAAGAUGCCCGCCUUCAUGAACACGCCCACCUCGUCAACUAUCGUGGCCACCACCACCGUCUUGUUCAUUGGCAGCCGUGAGACUCAGAUCCAGAUGGGAAUGAAGGAAAAAUCAAUCUCAUCAAUGAUUUCUUUUUUUUUUUUGAAACUGAAUAAUAAUAAUACUAGGAGAGGCCCUGUUGGGUUAGCCACACGCGCAAGUCUCAAGUCACGCGAAAAACGAGCGCCUCGUGGAUACCAGCACUAGAACCUACGGCCUCAAGCUUCACAUGUUCAUCCCUAACCACUUCACCCGUAAGAGCCAUCAAAAUCUGCCACCACCACGAGCUUGUGCAUUUGCUCUGAAAUACAUACGUCAAUAUAAACCUCGUCACACUUGAAAAUUAUUCAUGCCUCCGCCAUUGUAGAGGACGAUCGAUCUGGGCAGCAGCACUCACCUGGCAGCCAAACAGAUUGCAGGCUCGGCGCCUCGCAACCUCGGCGGUAAGCUUCAGAGCUCAGACUCCUCUUAGGAAAGAUGAGCAAUAUAUAAUGAUUAUAAUCCCAGCACGUGUUCUACGAGAGGCUCACACAUGUUAACAAAAGACCACCAAGCAAAUAAAAAGCCUUGCUAACGACUAGUGGUUGGAGUAUUGUAGUCCUGCUCUUUGCAGUGGGCAGUGGGGGCAUCGCCCGGCUGUGGUCUAUACAGGCUGCAGCGAAAAGGCUGCUUGCUCCACCAGUAAAACAAAGGCGCCCGCUGCCGUUGAACACCCUCGCGUUUCGUGGGUACGUGGUGUGGGGCUCAGAGUGGCCAUUUUUGAGUUUUGAGCGGUGCAGUGCAGGGAUACAUAGAGAGCAUGUCUGUACGAUGAGAGCUAGUUAUACUGUCACCUAAGUGUUUUGCUGAUGCGGCAAGGUAAAGGUAAUUAUUAAAGAGAAAGAGCAAAAAUUAUAGAAACCGGGUAUAAAAUAGAAAUCAUGUCUACACGAGAACCAAAAUAUGAAGUGAUGUGAUUGGUUGAGAAUGGAGAGUGAAUGAAUGUGAUUGAACAAAAAAUUAUUUCGUAGAAACUAUCCAUUGAGACUAUGAUUUCACAUAUAGUGAUUAUGGAAUUUAAUAGAUAUAGAAACAACAUGUAGUUUAGCAUGGGACUGCCCUGAAUCGGAGUGGUUGUACCAUUUAAAUUAAGUAUGCACUAGCAGAGAUAGAUUUAGAUGGUGCAACUUGUGUUGUUUGUUUGAGCUGCACCAGAUGGGUCUAGCUAUAGCCUAUAGGAACAAAUAUUGUGUUGAGUUUUAUUAUGGUACUCUUAAAUAAUUGUGAGUCAUUUAUUUAUUGUGGUCGAAUGGUACAAUCACCUACUACCUUAUAAUCAAGAGGUAGGUAAUAUGUGAAAUUUACCCUAAUAUCUAUUUAGCUUUUUAUUUUGUGAAUUAGUAUAAAUAAGGGAAGUUUUAGGUGUAUAAAAUCUUUUUCUAGAUUUAAUUGAUACAUGCAUAAUUUGGUAGAUAUGGUAAAUCUUUCUUAUUUUGCAAGUUCAAACUUGAUAUAUUUUGAUUACCAUGUAAUUUUUCAUGUAACUUAAUACACUUGAAUUUGUAUGCAAUAUGAUUUGCAAGUGUGAUACCUCGUGAUUAGGUAGUCUAAAGUUAGCUUGAUCUAAACUUUAGCCCACCUCGCAUUAGAGCCUUAGAUCUUAAAAUUGAGCUAAAGUGCUCUAAAGCUUCUAGACCUCUAAAAUUUGGAGGAUGACAUCCAAACGGGCCAUUACAUGUAGCAUCUUCCCAUGGCCCAAGGCACUCUAUUGAUUAGGCGCUAGCUAGUCACAUUUCACUUGGUCAAUCAAUUGAUUCGAUCGCGGUGUCGUAUGCAUGCACUCGCAUCUUGUGGACGGAGGAGACGUGACGUCUCUUUUUUCCUUGAGAGUAUGUAGACACUUUUGAGUUUUAUGGUGGUAUGGUGUAGUGGCCGAGAGAGAAUGAGGGAAAGUUUGUUUGCAUAGAUUGGAAUGGUUGUAUCAUCUGGAUUGGACCAACAGUAGUAGGGAUAUAUAGUUGUAAAUGGUGAUGCACACACGCACUCGCAUCUUGUGGAGAGAGAGGACGUGGCGUGUUUUUCUGUUCUCAUGAGAGCAAAUACUUUUGAGUUUUGUGGUGGUGUGGUUAAUGAUGAAGAGAAAAUAAGAGCAUGUUUGUUUGCCUGGAUCAGAGUGGUUGUACUAUUGGGAUUGGACCAUCACUAGUAGGGAUAGGUGUAAAUUGUGACGCACCCAUGCAUUGGCAUCUUGUGGGUGAAGAUGGCGUUGCAUGUCUUUUUUUCAUGAGAUCGACAGCUUUUGAGUUUUACGGUGGUGCAGUGCUGGUGAUGGAGAGAGAACGAGGACAUGUAUGUUUGUCUGCAUCAGAGUGAUAUACCAUCUAGAUUGAGUCAACACUAGUAGGGACAUAUGUAAAUAGUACAACUUAUAUUAUUUGUUUGAACUACACCAGAUGGCAUAGUGUACAAAUAUUGUGUUUGUUUGCCUACGUCAGCCAUGGCUCCAAGCCUUUACACUUACAAGUAGCAUCUUCAUGUGGCCCAAGGCACUCUGGGCGCCAAUUAGCCAUAUUUUCGCUCAGUCGAUCGAUCAAUUUGAUCACCAAAACACAUGCAUAUCACAUCUUAUGGUCGGCGAUGGCGCAUCAUAUCUUUUUUAUGAGAGCAGACACUAUUGAGUUUUGUGGCGGUGAAGUGUAGUGGUGGAGAGAAUGAGGGUAUUUGCCUAGAUAAGAGUAGUUGUACCAUCUAGAUUGGGCAAAGCACUUGUAGGGAUACGUGUAAAUGGUGACGCAUGCACGCCUUCACGUCUUGUGGACCGAAAUGGCGCAGUGUGCAUUUUUAUCCUAAGAGCGGACACUUUUGAGUUUUGUGGUGGGGCGAUGCAGAGAGAGAAUGAACGACAUGUUUGUUUGCCUGGAUCAGAGUGGUUAUACCAUCUCUAUAUAUUGGGCGCCAUCCAAACAUAUUUUCACUUAGUCAAUUGACGCAUCUUGUGGACGGAGAUGACGUGGUGUGUCUUCUUUUUUUCAAGAGUGGACACUUUUAAGUUUUGUGGUGGUGUAAUGUUGUGAAGGAGAGAGAGAAUGAGGAUAUGUUUGUUUCUAUGGAUAAGACUAGUAGCCGUAGGUGUAAAUGGUGCAACUUAUAUAUUGUUUGUUUAAGUUAAACUAGAUGGGCCUAUGUAAUAAACAAAUAAUAUGUUUGUUUACAUGCAUCAGCCAUGGCUUCAAGCCUCUACUCUUACAACCAACACCUUCAAGUGGCCCGUGGCAGCAACAUGCGAGCCAGGCUGAACAGGGACAAAGCCAGAAAAAAAUGUAGGAGGGGCUGAACAAAAUUGUUACAUCGACUUAACUUUACUAUAACGCCUCACAAUAGGAAAAAAUAUAUUAGAUUCAAGUAGUCUUAUAUUAAUUCACAAAAUAUAUCUAAAAAUAAAAGUCUCAGCCCACCAUACCUUAUAAAUUUGUGUCUAAAAUUAGAAGAAAAACACUAGGAGCUCCACUAAAUCAGUAGCGGUAGGGGGGCUAGAGCCCCACCGCUAGCUUCGUCCAUGAGGCUGAAUAAGGUUUGGUUUAGGCCCUAUUUGAUUUGAGUCGGUAAACUUUAUCAAUGUUUGGACACAUGCAUAAAGCAUUAAAUAUAGACUAUUUACGAAACUAAAAAACACAGCUAGAGAAUAAUUUGCGAGAUGAUUUUUUAAAACCUAACUAGUCUAUGAUUGUAUAUUAAUUACCAAAUAAAACGAAAAUAGUACAGUACCAUCAAACUUUAACAUCCCAACCAAACACGCCCUUAGUUUCUCUAGAGCUAUGCUCUUAGGCGCUUUAAGAAGUGUGCGGCCCUGACUCAUUGCUUCAUCUAGAUAAACAACCAGAAGCUAGUGUGCGGCCCUGAGCUAGCUAGUUUUCGAGCUGGUGCAGGCAAACAAAUGCGAGACCCCCACCUCCUCCAUCCCUUUCUCGCAACUCGCAUGCACGAACGAGCUCAUUCAUGAUCAAGCAGGCGCGUUGACGUGGAAUGCCUUUGCCAAACUAUCGAAGUACAGCAUCAUUCAGCCCGUGCCCGUCCAUCAUGCAGAGCGUCGCUGGGUCGCUGCCGCUGAAGCCGUGCGUGAUGACAAUUCACCAGUUGCUUGCUCGCUCUCGCUCCUUCAAUCAUACGAGCAUUGCCAUCGCAUGCGUCUCCGAGGGCGGGCGUAGGGUCUCAUUGGGAGUUUUGGUUGGAUCAUCGUCAGCGCAGCCACGAUCGAGUGACGAAGGAAGGAGCGAGGGACGGCGGCGGAGGGGCACAAGUCGGAAGGUGAUUUGCAACAGGUACAUGUAUGGGUUUUGGACCGGCAGUUGCAUGUAUGCGCCAACGCGAGCCCACGCCGGUGCCUCUUGAGCCAAUAGACCCACCUAAUAAGCUUAGACCUUGUGUUUAGUUGGGAUUUUUUUUUUGGCUUUGGCCACUGUAGCAUUUCGUUUAUAUUUAGCAAUUAUUGUCCAAUCAUAUGGACUAACUAGGCUCAAAAGAUUUAUCUCGCAAAUUACAGACAAAUUGUAUAAUUAGUUAUUUUUUUUAUCUAUAUUCCAUGCUUCAUACAUGCGUCUAAAGAUUCGAUGUGACGAGAAAAAUCUUGAAAAUUUUUAGGAACUAAAUAAGGCCUUAACAUGGUCUAACAGAAUGAGAAUUUGCAUAGUUUCCAUGCAUCUUAUUCUGCACUGUCAUGUACUUAUGUUUGGGCGUUUGGCAAGAUCGUUUCUCUAUUGCCUUUUUCCAUUUACCAACUGGUCAAGGGUUGCACUGCUUUCGUUUAUAGCCAAUCGUUUGUGUACAGUUCACCUUCUAGUCAGUGUCUUAAUUCAACGUCGAGGCAUGCACUUUGCGUUUUAAAGAAGACUUCGGAGACGCACAGAAUUUCCAACCGCCUUGGUUAAUACCUCGGAUUAACCGAGGCAGACAUUUUUUAUUGACCGGGGCGGUUGGAAAUACAGCCUCACAAAAUCGAUUUACCGAAGCAAUCGUCUUAAGCCAACUGCCUCCAAAUAUAGUUUAUUUUCGGAGGCCGCCUCGGUAAAUCUAUUUUUGGAGAUGGUUACUCUAUAAAGCCCACCUCAGUGAAUCAUGGCCCAGUAGGCAUCCCAUUCAGCCUGAUAUCCCGCCGUUGUAUAUAUACUGUUGUCUAGGGUUUCCUUCCCACUCCUCCAACCGGCAGUCGCGCCCCUCACUUCGCAUACCACAGCCGCACGGCUUCUCUUGCACCCCACUAUCGCGGCCUCCCCUCCACGGCACCCCACUCACCUCUCCUCCCUCACCGACUCCUCUUUCUCCCUUUCCUCUCCAUCUCCCUACCUCUCUCCGGUGGCGGUGGCACGGUGUGCUGCCAUGCAGCACAGCGGCGGUGGGCCGCGCCGGCACUUGGCGCACGGGGAGGCUAGAUCUGGCCUUGGCGUGGCAGAUCCGGCAACUGUGGCACAUCCCCUCUUCCUCGAGCUCGUCGGUGCACAGAGAGGCCAGAUCUCGGCGCCCCCCUUUCCCUCUCCAACCCGGUGGCUGACGGCACCCCUUCCUUCUCCAGGUCCAGCAACGUGCAGCAUGGGCGUGGCAAGGCGGGUCGCGGCUGUACAAGCGUUGCGGCAGUGCUCCCUCCCCCGAGCUCCUCCACCAGCACGCGGCCAACCCCCCUCCCUAAUCUGGCGUGGAGGAGAUGGAUCCACCUUCACGGCUCUACCACGACACGAAUUUAGCGUGGAGGAGCCCACCGACAACGGAUCCGAUAGGGAGGUGCGCUCCGGCAGCGCUGCGGUGGCUAAGGAUGAAAACGGUCGAACUCGGUCGAAAAACUGCUCAAUUAUUUUCUAUUUUUACAUUUAAAUACGAAAACGGAAACGAAAACGGUAAAGCCGAACACGAACACGAACUCGAACGUACGGAAUCUCGAACACGAACCAAUUCGAGCGAAAUUAUAUCGAACACGGUCGGUAUACGGAAUUAAUACGGAAUACCGAUCCACAGUACAUAAUCUUAACGAAGUGUACGAACACCACCCACGUGUCCACUCGCCACCAGUACCAUACUACCAGAAGUCCAGAACCAUACUAUACCAUCCGAUAACAGUCAAUAGCCAAACAAGUACAUGACCGCAUAAACUCUCAAGUGUCAUCACACCGACACACAAAUAUAUAAGUCUAGAACAAACAAUUAUUAGGAAAUACAUGUCUAAAGUUCACCAAGCAGUCAAUGAACAUACCUCAAUUUUGAGUUUAGCCACAACAUUAGUCAAAGCAUCUGAAUAUAAUAGAUAACAUGAGUUAGAAUUUAGUACUCCGAAUUUCGAACCGAAUCCGAAUUUGUCCGAAUUUAAAAACGAUCAAAUUCCGAAUAUAAUAUGGAAAUAUGGAAACCGGUCGAACAAACCCCAAACCGAUUUCGCUCCGAGUUCGAAUUUAGUACUCCGAAUUUCGAACCGAAUCCGAAUUUGUCCGAAAAAUACAGAAUCGAUUGGGUCAAAUUUAGAAAACGAUGCGGUUCGGUUCGGGAUAUUUCUGUUCUGUUUUCAACGUUAGCGGUGGCUAGCAGUAGGGCUGGAACCGGGCUUGCUGGUGGGCUCAGAAAUAGGCUCACCGAUGGACUCUAGGUUUUUUAAAUUUUUUUCAUUAACCGAGACGAGUGAGACAACUACCUCGGUUAAUGUCUGAUUUUCUGUGACUUUUUAUUGGAGACGUUUUGUUUACCCGCCUCCUAAAAUCCAAAACGCCUGCCUCUGUAAAAAAAUAUUGUAGUAAUAGUGAUGUAAACAAUGCUGAACUGAGACAUAAGGGCCAUACAAACCAUGUUAUCGGCAUUACCAAAACAUUAAUGAUAUAUAGUUGCUUUAUUUAUGAUUAUUUUUUCUAUGUUUUUUUAAUAUGCAAAAGAUUUAUGUAUCAUUGUAUUAAGUAGAAAAGUUUAAACAAACAUACAACGUGCUUCUAUAGAGCGUCAAAAAGAUUAAUCUAACAUAGACAUUGCUGGACCAUCCUGUGAUACGUCAUAUCUAAGGUUCUUGCACUGUGGUGAACUGGUGAUGGUGCUUGCACAGGUCUUAGUGUUACCAUCAAGCCAUGUCCACUAGAUCCUAUUUUUUAAGUCAUUGCAUUGGGCGCCCGAUGUUCUACUGUUUUAAUAAAAGAAAUACAGUCCAAUUUGCAUCCGGCGACAGGGGUGAAUCGAAGAAAAGAAACACUCCGCCGCACCUGGAUUUGGACGCGCCGCGGGCACACCGGCGCGGUGGAGGACGGAAUUAAAUUGAGGUUUUGUUUGGAUGUUGUCGGAUUCACUUCAAUCCAUGUGUGUUGGUGUGGAUUGGGGUGGAAUUUAGUUCAAAUACCACUCCAAUCCACCUCAACACAUUUGGAUUGAUGUGAAUCCGACUACAUCCAAACAAGACCUGAGGUGUGGCGAAAGCUUGUAACAACCAUCACUUCUAUUGUCACAGAAACCUACGAUAGCAAUCACUUUUGUUGUCUUAUACAAUUAAAUGUGUGUGGUUUUAGGGGCAAGCGUCUGCAUCUUUACCUUAUUUGAUUGAAAAAAAAAAGGAUACAGAGUUGAUUCAGUCAAGAUCCUACUGAUCGAUGUUGAUCAAACUGGAAUUAUCAAAGGCAGAUCGAUCUCUGAAAACUUCGUCUACGCCACAGAGUUGAUUCAGUGUUGUCACAAAGCGGAAGGCACCGACGCUGGUGAUCAAAUUGAACUUCGCCAAGGCGUUCGAUUCUGUGAACUGGCAUGCAGAGUCUCCUCCAGUGCGCGGCUUCUCCCCUCUUUGGUGCCGAUGGAUGAAGCAGCUUGUCUACGUCCCGCUCCGCUGUGCUGGUAAAUGGCAUACCGAUACUCUCGGCCCUUGGAUCACGGCAAACUACAAGGUCUCCGGCAAGGGGACGCCCUGCUGUCACCCUAUAUCUUCCUCCUGGUGGCUGAUGUCCUGCAAAGGUUUGAUCAUGGGAGACGGUGGCAUCCGCCACCCACUCUCCGACUGCCCGAGCCCGGUGCUGCAGUGACUAAUUUACCGAGCCUCAAUGUGGUUCAUAUGGUCUAACAACUUCGGUCUGCCCCGUGUCAAAGUAUUCGGAUGGCUGCUCGAUCAUCAAGUAAAAGAUCCAAUGCAAAUCCUCGCUGGUGCGCAAAAAAAUGUACUUGCUUUCAGGACGCCUGCUCCGAUCUGUGCCGUGAUGGUGAAGAGACUGUAGACCACAUCAUGUCAGAGUGCGCAUUCGCACGAGAAUUCUGGUGCAGCAUCAAGCAUAUCGCCAAGGUAGUCAUCGACGAUUCGACGCCGCCAACGAUGCCGACUGCAGCCAACUCACCAUUACUCCUACUCUGUUGCUGGGAACUCUUGAAGCAUGCACCGUCACGAUCGAUGUUGUCUUGAGGGCUGUAUACGGAGCUAGUCGCCGCAUCCCUCGCCGCCACAAUGCUCUUUCUGAAUUCCGGUGUAAUGUAUGUCUUUGCUAUGUAAUCUCCCCCACAUCCCCUGUCCCAGAAACAAUGUAAGUUUCAAGGCCACAUGCCUGCAUCUGUGGUUUAAUAUAUCAGGUGUGGGGGGGAUCUUUUGAUCCCUGUCGUCGACCUAAAAAAAAAGACAAAGGCAAACUGCAUUCUCCCUUGGACGUCAAUCCGUUUGCAUGCACGGCCGUGCCUGUGCCUCACGCCGGCAAGCAACACCGCAGAGGGCGUACGAUGCAGGGCUUGUUUAGAUCCAAAAAAUUUUUGGAUUUUGGCACUGUAGCACUUUCGUUUUUAUUUGACAAAUAUUGUCCAAUCAUGGAGUAACUAGGCUUAAAAGAUUCGUCUCGUGAUUUACAGACAAACUGUGUAAUUAGUUUUUAUUUUUAUCUAUAUUUAAUACUUCAUGCAUGUGCCGCAAGAUUUGAUGUGUUGGGUUUUUUGGGUGUAUCCUAAACAAGGCCGCAUUCGUCGAUAUCUUUGUGCCCGUACGUCUGCCGCGCCGCCACCUUGCGCCACCUCUGACCAAAGGCGAUCGACGAUCCGAUGCUGAUAGUUGACUGAGUGCCUCCAUCCGCGCGGUCACCCUUGCAUUGCAUCUUGCUUCUUCCUGGCACAGAUGAGUAGAUAUGAGCGAGCACGGCAGGUUCGCAUGCACUUUGCAGCGACGGCGCGGCGGACAGAGGGAUGGCAAUGCACGCCACGUAUUUCACGGAAAACUUAAUGUAUGGCGGACGCCAUACCAUGGCAUACCAUGCCCUAUCGAGUCCUUUGGCCAGGCGUCUGUUCUUGGCCACAGCCGCAAAGGCAAAUCGGUGCAGUGUUGGCCUCUCUUUUUAUCAGUGAUCAGUAACAAAAGCAAUGGGAUGAGGAGGGACUCUCUUCUUAUCAGUGAUCAGUGAUCAGUAACAAAAGACACGGGGAUGAUCCUUUCAAGCUCGUCUUUGCGGCAAUUGAUUAGUGGCCAGGACCACGGAAUAGGGCAGGUUGACAGGUGUGAUGGGUGCCGCGCUGGUCCGCCAACGAAAGCGAUUUUUAGUAAAGCUCAAUAGCACAUCAGUCAUCGUAAAUGGACUUGCAUUGGUUGAGAUGAGGAAGCAAAAUGUUAGCGAUCGACCACAGUCUUGUCUUAGCUAACAUAACAUGCAUAUGGACGAGCUAGCGUAUCACCUGCAUGCACCUACUAACUGACCAUCAUCCAUCAGAUGGAGUACUGGAGAGAUCGAGAGAGAGAGAGAGAGAGAGACGAUCAAAAGUUAUCAUGUAACCACUACCAUCUUCAUGAAUUCAUUCUAGUAUUUGACGAUCUAACAAUGUUAUUUGUCUCGUGAUAAAUGACUAUUUUGUCUAUAAUAAGACGUACGUGAAUCUCGAAACCUAACAACUUAGUAUUUCGAAGGUGCUCAUAAUGAGGUAGAAUGUGUGUAGGUUUAUACAGGUUAAGCGUGUGUAUAUGUACUGUGUAGUUCAGUAAAAAUUUACUAGUUAAGGACAUGUUCAACAAAUGCAAAAUAUAAUAAAAUGUAAGUACACAUGUUGUAAACCUAAAUUUUCAUUAAAUGUAUUCUUUAGAUGAUAAAAAAAUCUAUUCUAAUUAUAUUUUGUGUGAUUUUAUUGUCCAGAAGUAAAAAAAAUUGUUAUGAUAUUAGAAGGGGGCAUGGCUAGCUCUUGCUGCCUCUAGCUCCACCCCCGUUUCUUCCCUUUUUAUAUGGCGACAAAACAGUUCAUCCUCUUUUUGAUCGUGUUAGUCUUAACAUUACGUUUUUCCUUCCUAACCAGAAAAACCACAACGAAAAAUUUGGUCACUAGGUCAUCCUUUUUUUCUGUCCACCUAAAACCUUGAGUCCUCACAAACUUAUUUCAUAGCUUUCCACAUAGGACGUGUUUGGCUAAGAUGUAGCUAAGGUGUCACAAGCCACACGCAACCACGCACGGUUGCAGUGGUGUCUAAAGCACAGUCUUUAAAAUUAGCGCCACGGGUGUGACGUGGUUUUGAAAGGAAAAAAGUAAUAGCUGUCACACAUGAAGGGCCUAACAAAAUAGUAGCUUUUCAUUCCAUGGUGCACUGUAAGUUAGGCAUAUGGGCAACGCGUGGCGAGGAAAUAAACAUCAUCAUCCUUAAUAUGAGUAACGUUUCCUUAAUACGAGUACGAUUGAGAUGGAAUGGACUCCUAUGUUUGAGAUCAGCUAUACAAAGUUGAAUGAUAUUUAACUACUCUUUCUAUUUCAAAUUAUGACGUUUUAAUACGUAGCUUUUGUUAUACACUUAAAUAUAAUAUAGAACGUGUGUCUAGAACUCUAGAUACAUAAUAAAGAGUACUACAUUCAGAAAAGUUAAAACAUAUUGUAAUUGGAAUUUAGAAUGGAUUGAGUAGAUUGAUAAUGGUAUAGUGUAGCCGACUACCAUACAGCGUCUGGAUACAUAAUAAAAAACAAUAUAUUUAGAAAAAGCUAAAAUACUCCCUCUGUUUAUUUUUAAUUGUCGUUGUUAGUGUACGUGGCACAAGUUUGACUGAAUUUGUAGAAAAUACGUGCAACAUUUGUAUCUCUAAAUAAAUUUGGUAAAAACUAGAUUCAAAGAUCUUUCUAAUGAUACUAAUUAUUUAUUAUAAGUAUUAAUAUUUUUAAUAGAUAAUUACAGGCGCUUGUUUUUUGGAAGUGUAAGCGACACUUAAAAAGAGACGGAGGUAGUAUUUUGUAAUUGCAAUUUAGAAUGGAUUGAGUAGAUUAAUAAUGCUGUAGUGGAGCAAACUAACCCACAGCACGAUGUGUACUAAACCGGUCAGUCCCAAGGUUCAGCAAACUAUCAUCCCGUCGGCUAAAACGGGAGGAAGCAGAAAGCACACCGUCAAUACCCAAGGUCAGGGUGGUCGGUGGGCAGCAGCCAACCAGCACGCCAGCAGCGCCUUCCACUACCCGACGUGUGUGCCGCACACGCGGAAAACUAGAACGCCGCGCCCAAGCCGAGCUCCCUCCCCUCCCUGCUUGCUUCCCUUCCCUUUUUAUACCCCUCGCCACCAUUCCCUUCUCCACACUACUACUGCCCCUGCGCCAGCUCCGAAGAGGGAGGAGGAGGACGCCAGUUGCCCCACUGCCGCGCCGCUCCCGCCUCCCUCUCUCUCUCUCUCUCUCUCCAUCCGCCGAACUGGACGCCACCAUGAUCUCCGCUCGCGCCGCCACCGUCGCCGCCGCGUCCCCCGCCUCCCCGGUACGUUCCACGAGCGUCCCGGUGCGCCCCGCGCGCCCGCGGUUUGUUGCGGGGGUACUCUCCCUCGUCCACCCAGCCGAAGUUGAUUAUUGCCACCUGACCAUUUGAGCUUGUGUGUGUGUGUGUGUGUUUAUUCUCCGCAGUGGAAGCGGGGAGGAGGACGGAGCGAGGGUGCCGGCAGCUGCGACGGAUGCAGCACCUACAGGAAGACCGUGCGGAGGAGGGCCGCCGCCGCCAAGGUGCGCGCCUUGCCGCCGAAGCGGGUGGAGGCGGUCGCGAUAGGCUCCGCCGCGGAGACGGAGACGGAGGAGGUGGUGGUGGAGGUGGCGGCGGCCAACGAGGAGCUGCCCGUCAUGCCCUGGGCCACCUCUGUCGCAAGGUGAGCCGUCGAAUCGCGUGGGGGCUCUGCCUGUCGUCUACCUCCAACAUAUCCAUGCAUACUGCUUCUAAUAAUUCUACCGUUGCUUUGCUUGCUUCUAGUCAAAUCUCUAAUUGCUUGUUCUAUAUCACUAGUGUGUUCGUGUGCUUGACUAGCUGCAUUCUUCUGUACGUCCUCUCCUGAUGCCUUCAUCGAAGACAACUUUACCAUUUAGUUUGCCUUUCAUUUUAGUUUCAAUACUAGUUUAUCGAAACGUGCUUCUGCCUAACUAAGAAGCUCCAGCCUGAUACUGAUGUAAGUCUAGAUUUGUUAAAUCACCAUAUGUCACAUGGGAGUUUCUAGCAAGUUUCAGAUUUUUUUUUUUUUGGAGGGGGUGGUGUUGUAGAAUUCUGAAUUCGGAAUGUAUAUUUUUGGCGUUGUUGUAGAAUUCUGAAUCGAGUUGGAGUCAAAUGAACUCAUGCCGAUGAGUUAGGACCACAGUUGUUGAACAAAAAGCUGGGAAUUGUCUGCUUUGCUUUAGAUUUGUCCUGUUUCGUGCAAGUAUAUUCUAAGCUGGCCCACAGAGAUACGAAUUUGUCCACUACCCCUUCGGCACUGAAAUAUGAUGGAAAUUGAUACUAAAUUGCAACCAUAUUGUGGUACUAUACUACCAAAUCGAAUUUGUCAUGUAAUCUACUGUGAAGGGUAACCUUCGCCGCUCACAAUGAUAGCAUGUCAAGCAUCAAUAUGGCCAUGUUACCCAAAGGGGGAAAAAAACAAUUGGGCUGUACAAUCUUCAUGGCUGGAUGCAAAGCUUUUCUUUGAAUCCACGACCAUAAUUCUUUCCACUAAAUAAGUUUCCUCCACUUGGUUGAAGAAUAUGCUGACAUGUCUUAUUUCUACAUCAGCGGUUACACCCUUUUGAGGGAUCCACGUCACAACAAGGGUCUUGCUUUCACGGAGAAGGAGAGGGAUGCACACUACUUGCGUGGACUGCUUCCUCCGGCAGUUGUCUCUCAGGAACUCCAAGUAUGGGCCACAAUAAACAGUACCUGUUCUUGUGAUGACCUUUCUUUCUUUUUAUUUUUAUUUACUGAAGAUCACUUUAAUGUAUGUGUAGAUUAAGAAGUUCAUGAACAACCUGCGGCAGUACCAGCUCCCUAUUCAGUGCUAUAUGGCCAUGAUGAACCUUCAGGCAAUCCCAGUUUAUCCUUUCUACUGUUAUAUGAAAGCUUGCGACUGCCAUCAUAAUUGAUAUGAGAUGUUCAGUUAGAAUGAAUGGGUAGUUGCAUCAUUGUGCUUAACACCUCCUGUUUUCAGGAGACGGACGAGAGGCUUUUCUACAAGCUUUUGAUUGAAAAUGUGGUGGAGCUGCUUCCUUAUGUUUACACACCAACUGUAGGUGAGGCCUGCCAGAAGUAUGGGUCCAUCUUUGGACGACCACAGGGUCUGUAUGUCAGCCUGAAGGACAAGUAUGUGCAACAAUAUUUGCUUGAACUUUACAAUAACAUAUAGCUGUCUACCAUCUACCUAUUUGAUCUGGACUGACCUCGAGGUGCGUUCCAGGGGGAGGGUCCUAGAAGUUCUAAGGAACUGGCCACAUAGGAACGUUCAAGUUAUCUGUGUCACUGAUGGUGAGCGAAUCUUGGGACUUGGAGAUUUGGGUUGUCAGGUAUGAUUGUCUCAUUAGUUGCUUAUUACGUGAGGACCUUUGCUUAUAUUAUACUGAAUCCUUCUGUAGGGAAUGGGAAUUCCUGUAGGCAAACUUGCUCUAUACACUGCUCUUGGAGGAGUUGAUCCAUCAGCUGUAAGCAUUCAUGUCUUUUCUUUCCCCUUUUCGGUUGCAUCUCCUAUAAUGGCCAUGUAUGUUUGGUACCAACAAACAACUAAGUUAUAACAAUUGGUGAAUUCUAAAUUACGUUGCAGUGUUUGCCUAUCACAAUUGAUGUUGGCACAAAUAAUGAGAAACUGCUUAAUGAUGAGUUCUACAUUGGACUCCGACAAAAACGUGCAAGGGGCGAGGUAUGUAGUUGUGUCGAGAUUGCUAGGAGUUAAUUGGCAAAAUAUGUGAUACUUGAGAUCUUAUCUGUGAAAUUCCUUAAUGGCAGGAGUAUGAUGAGCUUAUGGAAGAGUUCAUGGCUGCUGUUAAGACAUUCUACGGUGAGAAAGUCCUCAUUCAGGUGAGUUAGACUCAACAUUGUACUUUUGCUAUGCCGGAUCAAUUUACUCUAAUACUCUUUAUCACAAAAAUGUAACGCUGUAAAUUUUGGACAGUUUGAGGACUUUGCCAAUCAUAAUGCCUUUGAUUUGCUUGAAAAAUACAGCAAGACCCAUCUUGUUUUCAAUGAUGAUAUCCAGGUAAAUGGAACCACCCAUGGUAUUUUUAUUUUUACUGAUACCAGGGGCAACCUUAAUUAAUUGAGAUCAUCAUCCUUCAGUUUAUUGCCUUUUGUGAUUGGUACCAAUUUGGAAAUAUGAAUGCUUGCAGGGCACAGCAUCAGUGGUCCUUGCAGGUUUGUUAGCAGCACUCAAGAUGGUUGGUGGGACCCUGGCAGAGCAGACUUAUUUGUUCCUUGGUGCUGGGGAGGUUAGUUAAAACAUCUCCUGGUGAACUGUUAUUUCCUUUGUCACCCAACUGUCGAAGCAUACUAUGUACUAUUUUAUCAAGAAAAGUAGACCCAUCAAUAAGAUUCUGAUAAUGUAUUUGAUUUCAGGCUGGAACUGGUAUUGCAGAACUCAUUGCUCUUGAGAUGUCGAAACAGGUAACAAGCUUCAUUGUUCUAGUAUCUGAAUGUGUGGUAGGUUUCCUUUCUCCUAGUUCUUGCUCUAACAUGGACUGGUUGGGUCGAUUAUAGACGAAGGCUCCAAUUGAAGAGUGCCGCAAGAAGGUUUGGCUGGUGGACUCAAAGGUGUGUAACCAAAGGAAAAUGCGCUGUUGCUAGUGCAGUGUUUGCUCACCUGUUUAUCUGAUGUCCUAACACGUUAUUUUGUAUACAGGGGUUGAUUGUUGACUCUCGUAAAAGCUCCCUUGCGCCAUUCAAAAAACCAUGGGCACAUGAGCACGAGCCCUUGACAACCUUGUAUGAUGCUGUUCAGGUAGUGACGCUCAUGUGCAUUUAAGAUUGUACUUCAGUUCAUUUAGCAGCUGCUGCCUUCACUUAAAGCUGUCCUGAUUGUGCUACUUUCAUAAAAAAGAAUUUACUAACCUUUCGUCAUAUCCUCCAGUCCAUCAAACCUACAGUUCUGAUUGGGACAUCUGGAGUUGGAAGAACAUUCACAAAAGAAAUUGUUGAGGCCAUGGCUUCCAUCAAUGAGGUAUUUUUUUUUCCUGUUUUCUGACAUUGCUGGUCGUAUAUUGUGAGGAUGGAAAGCUGACCUCUGAUAUCGCUAAUUGUAAAUGCAGAGGCCUAUCAUCUUUUCACUGUCAAACCCAACCUCACAUUCUGAAUGUACUGCUGAACAAGCAUAUACCUGGACUCAGGUGAGCUGUCUAAUCACCUUGUGCAGAGUUUGAUCUGCAAAUUGGUCCACUCGAGUCAAAACAUUUGGCAUUUUGUGCACUGUCUGACUACCAUUUUGAAUGUAGCCCAUCACUAGAAGACUAUCGGUGCUUAGUUUCCUGUUUAUUAAACUGUGAUCUAAUUGGACAAAAAAAAAGAAGUGGCUGAUUUCUAGAAAGAAACUUGUGGGGUCUGUACUCUGUAGUUUGCAACUCAUAUCUCUUCAUUUGCACUCUAUGCUCAGGGUCGUGCAGUAUUUGCCAGUGGCAGUCCAUUUGCCCCCGUGGAGUAUGAUGGGAAGACUUUUGUACCUGGGCAGGUAGAAGUUGUUUCUAAUAGUAAAUCCUACUAGGCAAUGCAAUCUUGCUGGUUGUAAACACCCACAAAACAUUAGUUUAUUGCUAACUCAACUGUGUUAUUUAUAACAGUCGAACAAUGCCUACAUCUUCCCUGGACUCGGCCUCGGUCUUGUUAUUUCUGGAGCCGUCCGUGUCCACGAGGACAUGCUUCUUGCCGCCUGUAAGUAGCUCUAAACGGAAACCAUUGGGCAUAAAGAAUCGUUUCUAAUACCUUGAUGAGACUGGGGACCAAUCUAAUGUUUCAUUCAUUCAAACAGCGGCUGCACUAGCUGAUCAGGCCACAGAGGAGAACUUUGUCACGGGAUCGAUCUUCCCACCCUUCACCAACAUCAGAAAGAUCUCUGCGUACAUUGCUGCAGCCGUUGCUGCAAAAGCUUAUGAACUCGGUACGCACGUCCUCUGCAGACACCAUUGCAUAUCUUGGCAUUCACCACCAAGUCUCAUAGCUGCCUGAUCUGACAUCAUAAACUUCCCUCUGCAGGUUUGGCGACCCGUCUGCCUCCCCCCAAAGACCUGGUGGCAUAUGCAGAGAGCUGCAUGUACUCUCCUGUCUACCGUAACUACCAGUAGUGCUGCUGGAAUCAAUUUUGGAGUUAUAAAAUAUAUCAACGCAGAUGAUACUGCAAUGUUGUAGUUAUCGCUGUUUAAUAUAGUCCCUGCUGCUAACCACCCUUGUUGCUGGUGCUG